UACAGAGGGGGCAAGCGUUGUUCGGAAUUAUUGGGCGUAAAGGGUGCGUAGGCGGUCUGUUAAGUCUUCUGUGAAAUCUACGGGCUUAGCCUGUAACGUGCAGAGGAAACUGACAGGCUUGAGUGUCGGAGAGGAUAGGGGAAUUCCCGGUGUACAGGUGAAAUUCGUAGAGAUCGGGAGGAACACCAGUGGCGAAGGCGCCUGUCUGGCUGACAACUGACGCUGAGACUCGAAAGCAUGGGGAGCAAACAGG
This 253-nucleotide ribosomal RNA is filed under the name uncultured bacterium. RNAcentral's name for it is "partial 16S ribosomal RNA". It matches the Rfam family "Bacterial small subunit ribosomal RNA", at positions 524 to 776 of the family's 1533-position model. The record is from RNAcentral.